AGCGCCUGCAGCCUCCGCUGUGAAUGGAGGUAAAAUGAAGAAUUAACAAAUAGGGACUUGCCCCAGGUAGAAUACAUCCCCCCAAAUCCUUGUGUUCAGCCCAUUGAAAUGGGACCAAGAGGUGAAAGCUUAACCUGAUUAUGGUGAGGAAAGGUGGGGUCUUUGGGCAGGGAUCAAUCUCGUGGUCUUACGUGAAGAGAACCGGGCCAGAACAGUAGAGGAACUCAGGGGCGCAGACCCGCCCUGCUCGGCCGGAAGUCUGCCUCCCAUUCUGCAAUGCCUUUGGAUUUGCUAGCCCCCAGAACUAGAAAAAGAACAAUGAAUGGAACCACAAGAAGAGACGUUGUCCUCCAUGGGAUCGCCAUGAACUUCACAGACGCCAACUGAGUGUGUCUUACAAAGUCAAGUCCCCACUGGUUCAGCUCAACAAAGACACAGAACCACUGAUCCUCUAUAGCCCGAAGGCCCAUUCUGGGAGGCUACUAGAUUCCCUAACUGGCAGUCUCCCUCCUGGGUUGGCAUCACUCAGAGAAGCACAGGGUGGCCACAUUCAACACCAACAGUUCCAAGUCUGCAUCUGCCGGUGCCCCGCGCCUUCCACGCCAUGGCUUCCACCUUGGCUGAUCUGAGCUUCGCAUAGACUCCUGCUCUGAGGCUGGCAAGAUAGAGUGGACCCUGUCUCAGCACCUGUCACUAGCAGUGCACCAUAAACUUCUGGCUACCCAAGACUCUGGACCCCUGGACAAGGAGCCUGGAGAGAAAAGACCAUGGUAGAAUACUGGUACUUUGCCCCAUUUCUAGAUCAGUGAACUUAAAGUCAUCAUCCAAUGAAGUUCCCUCAGCUUUAGCUUAUUCCAUUGCAGGGAUCAGGUCGGUGUCAACCUCCCGCUGGAGACAGAAGAAUGUGCCCAGGUUUAGAUUUUUCCUGACGCUUCAUCGUGAUUACAUUCGAGCUCCGUAUUUCGGCAGGAACUGCACUGACAUGAUUGAUGUGUGUCCUUCCUCGUACUUCACAUCAGGAGGUGAGAAACAUUCUCUGCCAACUAUUUCCCACAUUUUUGCUUCAUAUAUGAAAAAGACUGCCAACUGAAGAUAUCUCCCUCAAAUUUCGAAGGCCCAGAAUUCUGUUACUUUUAACUCUGCUCCACAAGUCUGGUCUUGGGAAAAGAUGGAAAAGUUACCUAUAAGGGCAUACCUACUGCUCCCAGCUGCAAGUGCGCCCAAUGGCAUGGAUGCAGAAUAAGAGCUCACAGGAUCCUCCCACCACCCACCACCAUAACCAAGACAGAAAACGGCAGGCAACCGAGGUUUCUGCUGAGAAAUCUAGCAGUCAAAUUAAAUUUCCCUUGGAUGUGAGGUAUUGCUUUCCUCUUGCUGCUUUUAUUUGAAUGUUAUACAAACUUAAAAAUGAGAUCCUGUCACUUGUGACAACCUCGGUAAAGCUGGAAGACAGGAAGUUAAGUGAAACGAGGCAAAUACAAAAAGAAAAAUAUUGCAUGAUAUCCUGUAUGAAAUAUGAAAAAAGGGCAAAUACAGAGAAAUGAAAUGGUGAGUAAAGGGAGCAGAGAGAGAUGUAGGUCAAAGGUACAAACAGCAGAUAUAUAAGAUGAAUGCGUGAGAGUGAAUGGAGAACAUGGGCACUGAUUACAGAAUUACAUCACAUACUGGAAACAGAGUCGAUUUUAGGUGCUUAUAAUACACACACACACAGAGUUUGCAAUUAUGUGAGAAGAUGGUUAAUUUGCUUGACUAUGGGAAAUCAUAUCACGAUGUACAUCUAAAUCAUAGCCCAGUCAUGGUGGCACAGGGGGUAGUGUGCUUCUGUGAGAGACUGGAGCUCCAUGGAAAACCUGGGUAUAGAUCGCAGACCAACGAGAAUGUACUGGACAUGCAUCUGCAGUCCUAGCUAACUGGGAGGCUGCAGUAGAGGAUUUUUAAAUCAAAAUCUAUCAAAGAUGCCUAUUUCUCACCUGAUCCCUCCUGUUCUCUUACGCAAUGCUGUUUUUCGCUCAUUAACCAAUUUUUAAAAAUCAUAUUGAGGGCCAGCAGGUGACGUGGUGGUUGAGGGUGCUGGA
Tupaia belangeri chinensis (Chinese tree shrew) is the source of this 2075-nucleotide long non-coding RNA. RefSeq lists it as uncharacterized. The record is from RefSeq and is a predicted model, not a curated record. The transcript has 8 exons. NCBI's taxonomy places the organism in Eukaryota, Metazoa, Chordata, Mammalia, Scandentia, Tupaiidae.